AUCGCUGCUCAUUAAUUUGAGGAGAGGAAAGUCCGGGCUCCGUAGAGCAAAAAGGGCAGUUAACGGCUGCUAAAGGAAACUUUAAGGAAAGUGCCACAGAAAAUAGACCGCCUUCGGGUAAGGGUGAAAAGGUGGUGUAAGAGACCACCAGUGUCUUAGGGAACUAAGAUAGCUAGGUAAACCCCCUUUGGAGCAAGACAAAAUAGGAAAGGUUAAGGGCUGCUCGUCCGGCUUUCAGGGUAAGUUGCUAGAAGUUAUAAGUAAUUAUAAAGCUAGAAAAAUGAUUAGUUAACACAGAACCCGGCUUAUUUGAUGCCUU
RNAcentral lists this RNase P RNA (319 nucleotides) under fish gut metagenome. RNAcentral describes it as "Bacterial RNase P class A". It matches the Rfam family "Bacterial RNase P class A". From Rfam's summary of the family: Ribonuclease P (RNase P) is a ubiquitous endoribonuclease, found in archaea, bacteria and eukarya as well as chloroplasts and mitochondria. Its best characterised activity is the generation of mature 5'-ends of tRNAs by cleaving the 5'-leader elements of precursor-tRNAs. The record is from RNAcentral.